Molecule: ribosomal RNA, 393 nt
Filed under: uncultured bacterium
Lineage: Bacteria
Description: partial 16S ribosomal RNA
Rfam family: Bacterial small subunit ribosomal RNA
Source: RNAcentral
AUACGGAGGAUUCGAGCGUUAUCCGGAUUUAUUGGGUUUAAAGGGUGCGUAGGCGGCCUUUUAAGUCAGCGGUGCAAGUCUGUGGCUCAACCAUAGAAUUGCCGUUGCAACUGGGGGGCUUGAGUAUGUUUGAGGCAGGCGGAAUGGGUGGUGGAGCGGUGAAAUGCUUACAUAUUACGCAGAAACCCGAUUGGGAAGGUAGCCUGCCAAGCCAUGACUGACGCUGAUGCACGAAAGCGUGGGGAUCAAACAGGAUUAGAUACCCUGGUAGUCCACGCAGUAAACGAUGAUCACUAGCUGUUUGCGAUACACUGUAAGCGGCACAGCGAAAGCGUUAAGUGAUCCACCUGGGGAGUACGCCGGCAACGGUGAAACUCAAAUGAAUUGGCGGGG